Molecule: ribosomal RNA, 506 nt
Filed under: uncultured bacterium
Lineage: Bacteria
Description: partial 16S ribosomal RNA
Rfam family: Bacterial small subunit ribosomal RNA
Source: RNAcentral
AGUGAACGCUGGCGGUAGGCCUAACACAUGCAAGUCGAACGGCAGCACAGGAGAGCUUGCUCUCUGGGUGGCGAGUGGCGGACGGGUGAGGAAUACAUCGGAAUCUACUCUGUCGUGGGGGAUAACGUAGGGAAACUUACGCUAAUACCGCAUACGACCUACGGGUGAAAGCAGGGGACCUUCGGGCCUUGCGCGAUUGAAUGAGCCGAUGUCGGAUUAGCUAGUUGGCGGGGUAAAGGCCCACCAAGGCGACGAUCCGUAGCUGGUCUGGGAGGAUGAUCAGCCACAAGGGAACUGAGACACGGUCCAGACUACUACGGGAGGCAGCAGUGGGGAAUAUUGGACAAUGGGCGCAAGCCUGAUCCAGCCAUACCGCGUGGGUGUAGAAGGCCUUCGGGUUGUAAAGCCCUUUUGUUGGGGAAGAAAUCCAGCUGGCUAAUACCCGGUUGGGAUGACGGUACCCAAAGAAUAAGCACCGGCUAACUUCGUGCCAGCCGCCGCCGUAA